GCGGGCAGGCCCCGGGGCGCGCUCUGCCGGGGGCGCGCUCCGUAACCGACCGCAUGCCCCUAAGACGGGCGAGCUGCGGCUUGUUGUGCGUUUGCGGCCCUGGCCACCGUGGUGCCGCUAACCUUCUGGCCGCAUGGCCCGGGGCCGCAGUUCGUUGCGGCCCACCUACCGCGGGGGCCUCCACUGCACGCCCACUGCUGUCCGGCCGCUGCGUCCCUGGGUUCCUCCGUCUCCUCCCUAUGGGGCUCUGAGCUGACCGGCCAGCACCGGCUCUCCUUU
RNAcentral lists this long non-coding RNA (279 nucleotides) under Rattus norvegicus (Norway rat). RNAcentral's name for it is "long non-coding RNA NONRATT028916". Lineage: Eukaryota; Metazoa; Chordata; Mammalia; Rodentia; Muridae. The record is from RNAcentral.